UGCUGCCGUGCUAUCCUGCCACGAGAAGAGUCACCCACGCCCAUCCCUCCGUGCCCCACGGUCUUAUCCUCCCUAGUGUUUUCCUCAUCCUUUUCCCUUCCUUCUCCUCUGCUCGAGCCGGUCCCAACUCCAGAACCCGGCCACCACUCGAUCCCCCAUUCGGUCAGCCGAGUCCCUCGCCGGAGAAGUUUUCCCCAGCGACACAGAGCCACCAUAGGCGCCGCCAUGGAUCUCAACGUCGAAUCACACCUUCCGACUACCGUUUCCUUCGUCCAACGGCUCAAAUCGAACCUAGGUGUAAUUGCUGCUGGUUGGAGCUAAUCAGGAUUCACGUCGGUGGGCUCAAUGUGACAUCCUCACACCGUAGUUAUCGUUGUUUUCAAACUGAGCUUCCAUUUAAAUUUUCGUUGCUUAUCGAACUCUGAUAUUUUACAUAAACUUGUUUGUAAAACUACGCAUUAUAAAUUAAAUUUGAGGACUUUUGUCUGCUUGUAAUCA
Panicum virgatum (switchgrass) is the source of this 498-nucleotide long non-coding RNA. RefSeq lists it as uncharacterized. NCBI's taxonomy places the organism in Eukaryota, Viridiplantae, Streptophyta, Magnoliopsida, Poales, Poaceae. The record is from RefSeq and is a predicted model, not a curated record. The transcript is spliced from 2 exons.